Molecule: unclassified non-coding RNA, 1470 nt
Filed under: Hevea brasiliensis (rubber tree)
Lineage: Eukaryota; Viridiplantae; Streptophyta; Magnoliopsida; Malpighiales; Euphorbiaceae
Source: RNAcentral
GAAAUUUAUAAGUAAUUAGAUAUUGGCCAAUAAUUCUAUUGGCCAUUUAUUCUCAUUAUGAACGUUCAUAACUCACGACUGAAAACAUAGUCUGAAUACAUAGGACAAGUACACUGAAAAAGCUUACAAUACAUAUAUAAUCAAAUCCAACAUGCAUUCUUGAGCGCAUCAUCAUGUUGCUCAGUUGGAAGCAAUUGGCGCAGAAUGUGGCACCUAAAUUCCAAGCAACUUAAUAAUUUUCUCGAGGGCUGCCAAAGGGUCUCCCAAACCAGAAGCACUUAUCUUGCUAUAAAUUCGAAAUGCCAAAGCCAAAACACCAACUAAUAAAUGAAGCUGGGUAUACAGAUUCUUGACAGCUGUGGGAAUAUAGGGAUUUAGAACAGUGACAGCUGCAUCAAUCUGCAAACAUGUGAAAAAACUUUCAAUUUUUCAUUCAACAUCCCAUAUGCUUAUUCAAAGAAAGACAAGAUUACAUAUAUAUUCAAUCAAAAUAGUUUGCAAUUAAGACCCCAUAUCAUCAAAUGAAUAAUAUUAAUCAUUUCAAUAUUGAAAUUGUUUGGAAUUUUGUUUUUCAAUGCACUGAGAGUAUCUAAUAAUCUUCCUAAAAAUAUUGUGUAUAAGCGCAACCAAUCUCAAAUGGAAAAAUGAAUGACAUGAAUAACUUAUUAAGCAUUGAAGAGAUGAUUUUUAUUUUGGUUUAAAUCCAAACUCAAUUAAAAUUUCACGCAAGAAUUAAUAACGAACAAAAACCUAUCAACUACGCAUUAAGGUCUUCCAAUCUCAACCUCUCCCUCAUGUAUACCAGAAACACAAAAGGUAAACAUAGAAGAGAAAGACUCACCUGGUUGUCUGCAAACUUGAGAACCUUAUUGAAAACAUCCUCAAACGUAGGAUAGAUAGGUGUAACCACGGUCUUAACCGUAGACUCAAUAGUCUGGAUAGCAGGCUUCAGUGGACCAGAAUUGUUCUUGACAUAAUCGUUGAGCUUUGAGAGGGAAAACACGGCAAAAAUUGCAGCCAGUUGCACAAAUUGCAAAUACUUCAGACUGUCUUCCUCCUUAUUACCCUAAAUAAUUCAAUUUCAGAGCAUGUUAAUUUGGAUAUUCAGUAAAUGAACCAAAUAUUUAAUUAUUUCACAAAAUCACCGCAUAAAAUUGAAUAUAAUAAGGAAUCAUAGUCAAUACAAGUAAGCGGUCGAUAGUUUUCUGUGCAAUAUCCCCUCCAAUGCCCAACACGCCUUCUGCAGCACUUGUUGCAGUUUUUGAGAGAUCAGCUACGGCUUCUUCAGCCAAACCCGCAAUUGGAGAUUUUGAGAGAGCACUAGUGGCUGCACUUGUGGCUUCUUCAGCUAUAUCUGUGACAGAUUUUAAGAUAUCACUUGCCAUAAUUGAAAAGUUCUUUUUUUGAGAAACGGAGGGUCAAAACUCAAAACGCAGUACUUGAAGUUUGAAAAAAGAGACCCGCCCCCAU